CAUGCCCACCUUUUGGCAUCUAAUUCCCCACUUUUGAGAGCCAAGUGAAGCAGCACUUGGGGGCUAGACCCACCCACUCCGGCAGCGUCGAAAGCUCAGCCUAAAGGUGCGCACUCCACGCCGUCCGCCCAUCAUGUCGCGACGAGACACGCCAUGGGAGAGAGCGCGAGAGGGGAAGAAUAGCGGCGACGUGACCAACAGCAGCGCCUACCGGCAGUGAAAAAGUCUCCCCUGGAUCGGGCGAUGGUGGGCACGGUUGCACAGCCACGGAAGGCUGUGUUGUGUAUAUAUAUGUAACUGGGUGCAUAUCUGGUCUCCAGAAAAGAAUUCCCGCCCGCCUUCGUCUUUCUUCCCUUCCUCGUGCCUCGCACGGGACCUUGACUGCUGACUCGCGCAUCUGGCUUCAUCACAUGGUGUGCCUUGGUGGCGGUGGUGCGAGCUUCUCUCUCGGUCUUGCCUUGGCCCUUCAGGCGGAUUGCUGCUACUCCCGCACGCUGCGAUGUUCGCCGGUGAUCGGUGUGUCGCUGUUCGGGGUGCUGUUGGGGUGUGGAGAUCUGACGCUGAUUUCUAGAUUGAGGGUGCUGCCGGAUGUCUACCGGAUGGCCAGUGUGAUUUUUCUUCAUGAAGGUGAUCCUGCGGGUCUGGAAGGCGAGCGUCCGCAGCAGAUGCCCCGAAUGCUGGCAAGCAGGUUAAAAAUUAUUAUGGUGGAAGCAACCAUUUUCAGCAAUGGGCAAGAUAGUUCGCCACUUUCAAAACGAAUAUUGACAUACUGAAAAUGUUUACAUGAUUCUCUAGCAAGUUCAACCUCAAGCAUCCGUUUAGAUUUCCGUUCCAUUUCUUUCUGUCUCACCGACUGAAGUUUGACAGGGCUAAACCUCUUAACCAUACGGUUGACCAUCGUUUCUGUGUUCCUUGAAUCUAGUCGGAGCGUUAUCAAAAAUGUAACGCUUGUGACAAUCGAAGGAGAGGCAACUUCGGAUGCUGCAAUUACCUUCACGCAGAUGGACGGUGCCUUACUAAGGGAGCAGUAUCCUGGUUGGGAGAUCUUUCGUUUUGGCCUACAUCAAAUGGUCCCAUUCAAGUGCUCAAUUCUAGCUGGAGAAUGUUGAUUCCUUAGAUUUGUUACUAUCACAACCUUCCAACCGUUCAGACCUUAUCUCCGAUGUUCUCUCGCGACACUAUCACCUGGUUAUCCUGAUACUUGGACGGAAAUCGAAGUUUCUCAACCGCCCAGACCCAUUGAGACGUUGUCUCAGUGUGCUUCAGUACUGAAAAGUUCUAAAUAUUCCUUAGAAAUAUGGGUCCUUGGAUUCGUGCAGGUCGGACAGUUCUGUUGAUGGCCGAGGAAGCUGUGGUCUCAGUAACGAUGGAUUGACUACAGUUCUUGGAUCUAGCUGCAUAUCAGACUAAUAGGGCCGGUGACUACAGUUACCGGCUGUACUACGAGAUUCUUCAGAGCUCGGCUGAGGAUGGUUUAUAAGUGUAGGCGCAUCCGAAUUCAUGUCACUUUUCGGACCAGAUAUUCCAGGACUCUACUAGGCCAGUGGAGACUAGAGACCAAAUUCGUUAUCUGUAUUGGUUUAGGAGCGUGUUCCAGUCAAGCCGAAUACUAGAGAGCAGAUUGGAUGUGAGCAUUUCUUAAGCUGAGUAUCUUACGUUUGUACUGAAGCAAACUGAACUUUGGAACAACAUCAAUUAUUACGUUGCCGAUUACUACGUGUACAUCAUGAAUGUGCUCCAGAGCUGGGCUGUUAUACGAGUUACAAGUUAUAGUGUGUCUGUUGGUUGACUGGCACCUCUAUUAUUUAGAUUCCAAGUUGUCGGUGAUUGUUGUUAACACUCUUCCGUGUUGUAGUGUGACCGAGGCAUAUCCGUAUCUACCAGUGGUCGUACUAGCCAGUAACAGUCGAGAUGCAUUAUUAGAUAGUUAAAAGUGUAGCAAGGUACUUAUGAUCUCCAAAAGGUACAGCUUGUGAUCUCGGGAAGGUACUUGCACGAUCAGGUUUGGGAUUUGAUGGUUGUCACAUUUUUCGUUAGUGGCACCAAAGUGAGCUGGCUCUUUUACUGAUUGCUUGCCAUGGAAUCUCUCCGCUUGUCAGAAAAAUUCCCAUGAUUUCUGUUCUGGAUGCACUGAAUCAACUUGGCGGUGGCGGAAGGCGGUGGCGAAGGUUUGCAAGUAUAAAUUAUGGGCCUCGAAACACAGGCUUUACUGAGUACUGCCGAGGCACUGAAUAAUACGACUUGGUUCUGCAACGAAUUUACUUUUGAAGCUCGAGCACUUCUUCGAUGUUUUUAUGAUGUUGAUCUUUUGUUCUCUUUCACAGUCGUGAUAUGCACGCCACGAUUGUCAUCUCUGUAAAGGUAGGAGGUUCAUGAGUCUAAUCUUUAAUAUGUAGUGUAGUACAAUACAUUGAACUGAUAUGCGGUAAUGAAGUGAAUGAGAACUGUCGGCACUUGUCAACGCGUUUGGCUGAGAAGACAUUUUCGGAUGUACAUCAAAGCUCUAAUGGAAGUUUAAUGCAGCAUUUAAAAAUUAAAAUAAAACAAAUUACUUCCUCCAAAUAGCCUUGUUUAGUAUCGCUAAUUCAUGUACUCAAUUCUUGUGUGCAGAUUGAGUUAAAUGUUGGCGUUUAGGUGUGACCACCAUUCUCAAUGCUAAUCUUAAUAGUACAGUAACUUUUUUCAAUUUCUAUGUGCGUUUGAUCGUCGUCUUCGUUGUUAAUGUCAUCAACAGUAAGCAUCAAACCUUAAAUUGAACGAUCUACAUGCGGCGUGCAUAGAAGUGAUGAGGGAACCAAUCAGAACCAAUACCAGAAUAAACAAUCCCAAAAUCCAAGAGUUUUCCUUGCUUAGAAUGCCUAGAUUGCAACUCACGGGAAGAGGGAUCACACUAGAUCUGUACUUUAUUGCUGUAUUACUUUCUUAGAAUCACAGACAAGUUGUUAUGAAACAAUUGAUUACUUCCUCGAGCUCUUAGUGUAACAUUUUAUUUCAUUAACGUGCUUGCCUACGCGAUUGGAGAUGCAUAAAACCGCAUCUGUCUCGAAGGUCAGCCCUGUCAUAAGUUCAAACUUCAUGAGAAACUUGACUCUACGGUGACAACAGAAUUGAUCAUGACAUUGGCACCACGACGAAAGAAUUCUCUCCAUUCAAAUGCCGAUUCACAGGAGGUGGCAGCGGUUCCUGCUCAAAACCCUGAUGGAAAUUGUAUGGCACGAUAAUAACUUGUGUGAUCCACCAUGUUUUUCACCAGGAUACCGGAUCAGAGAUGAACAGUCUCACACAGCUCGACACCUGGCUUCGUACACAACGUCUGGUGGAGUACUGUCUGUAAAUUGAUGCCAUACAUUGUUUCAGUAUCAAGUCAUAAGUAUCUAGGCGUGAGAUGAUAGUAUAUCUUUGUGAAGUCUUUUAUGUCUUGGUGCACGUACUUACAGGACAUAAAACAUGUGAUAUGGAGUCUAACUAUAACUGUGAGAGGAUGUGCAGGAAUCAUAUCUUGGUUAAAUCGCGGGCGUAGCUGAGGUGCUAGAGCAAUUCAGAAUUUGUGCCCAUUGACUGGCUAUUCUUGCGACCUUUAUGCUGACUGCACAUAAGUGGCUUCUCGACUUUAAAGAAUACGCCGCUGUAGAUGCUCUCCGCAUGCCUCUUUGUGCGUCCUUUUACACCAACGUAUUUAGCCACAUGAUAGUUAAUACUCCCAAAAUAAAAAAUUUCUAGUUUGUGGAUUCAGAAAUUCUCUGGUACGAUCCUUCAACAUUGCUAAAGUGUGAUUCAUCUAAUGUCCUUGAAUUGAAUGCUUCUUUCACCUGACUCCCGCCCUGGGCACUGCAAUUGUACUACACUCUGCUUCUUCCAAUUUGUUUACAACUUUUCAUGGUUUGUCUCUUCGCAGGAUUUUGUUAGUUUAUCUUUUUUGCUUAUCAACUCAAUCAUGCAAAUAUUGUCACUUCCUUUUCCUUGACAACUGUCGUCGUGUGCAUUGGUGAGAAUUUGUUACAAGGGAAUCGGCAACAAAAACCUCCCUCAGUGGUUCUCAUAGUGCGACCGAUAUAGUCGUUACAAAUUCCCAUUAAAGCUGCUGGGAAUUAUCAGUACUCGUUGUGUACCAGUUGACUUGGAGACGAAUCGCACUGAACCACACGGAACUGGCUCCUACAGGCUAUUGGCAACAUGCAGGUGUAAGUACUGGAGCUAUCUUGAAACAAAUUAUAAUACGGCAUGAAAUAAGUGAACAUAACUCAGAUCACUUAUUUCAUGCAGGGUCAAGUUGUUUUUUGUAGGUUCGUUCGAAAAGCUGUUCCAGUUGCCUUCACGAUUAGACGGCGCAACUGGAAUAUUACAUUUGGUUACUCAUUGUUACGUGGAUUUUCAUGUUUUGUCUAGCUUAUCAUCCAAAUUUAUUAUUAUUACAGCAAUGGUACCUGCCAGUUAUCAGUUGUAUGGUUCUUAAGAUCAUAACCCUCUAUGUACGUCUCUUGAUGUCAGCUGCGAAUAACGGACAGCAUGCUUCGACGACAGUUGUCGAUAGGUCUUGCAGUUUGAGUGGCUUUUGGGACAGGACCCCAAGUAAUGUUCGUCAUCCUGUCACCUCCUCAAAUGUCACUCACAGCAAUAGGCAAUGUUUAUACGAUAAUACAUAGAUAUAUACGUUUAUGUUGUAAAGCAUUUCAGCAUCAUAUCGACCUGUAGCCGUAGCAAGCAUGAAUCCCUUAGGUGUUAGGACAGUACAGAUCUGAGAAUCUGUGACGAUGUACUUUUAAGCCAGUGCAUUGGUUUGGAAUGAGUCCUCCGUUCUGACGAGACAAAGUCCGAUAAGCUUGUGGUCCAGUAUUCAGACCGAGAGCUUUCAGUGAUGGUUGAUCUGCUCCUCUCCGUGGAACCAGAGGGAUGGAAACAUCCUGGUACGAGUGGCUACAAUGAGCUCCUCCCACAGUGACAGCAGGGAGUGUCUCUUUUUCAGCUGCAUGGCACGCCAGGAUAUACAGCAUAAGCUGUAACACUCAUUGUACACUAAAAACAUGUCCGUCCCAACACCAGCAACCCAAGACAGGCAAUGCGCGCCAAGCAGUGUCCGUCCUGUGGUUAUUGCGUGCUAUCAUUAUUCCAUCGCAAACCCCAACGGAAUGAGUGUGCAACGGAAUGAAUGCUCACUCUCCAGUGUUCUCCGCCAAUCGGACCCCUCAAAGGUGCGAGCCAACUGGACCCUCUAUUCUCAGAGUCAUCGCGGUCGUCCCCCGGGUGGCAGUGCCUGGCUGGGAAUGUUUUGAGGUCUGGACACUUGAAAAAGCGUCCACUGAGUAUGCAGACUCGAUGUACUCAAUUGAAUCCUAGACUGGUGGUCUAGUGGUCAACAGGUUCGAAGUCUGGAUCCCACUUGCCUUCGAUGCGGCACUCCUUUCAUGCUGGUACUCGUAUAAAUCUGCGUACAUACUGUGUACACUCCACUGGCGGUGGUGGGUAGACAUAUAUGUAAAUAAAUAUAUUUUGUUUCUAUAGGUCCUUAGACUGCCACAUCGUUUGUUGAGAACGGACACUCGCUUUAGGUCCCAGUAUUCAGGAUAUCCGAGUUACGAAAGAUCUUUGACUCUUCCACAGACCUAAUUUAUUCUGUAAAGUAACUCUACAUAUCAUGGAGCAGCGCUUCGCAUCAGACCUUUCUCAAUAAAAAUGGAGGAAUCAGACUCGUAACCUUUGCAAAUUAUAGUGUCAGAAGUUAAAGUCUCCGACUUACUUCGACUAUCAGGUUUUUUAUGUAAAAAAAGAACAUUCAUCUGCAUUAUGUGGGUUUACAGCCAUUUCCUGAUAGAGUAAGUUUCUAUGGUUCAGAAUCUAUUCACAGCCAUGUGACGAGUUUACUCUUUUGGGGAAGUUAAGAAUGAGAGCGGAUCAGACAAGGAUGCUUUUCCCCCUUCAGUGAAGAUUUUUCGAUCGUCCCCUUUUUAUGUGGGUUUUGCAACUAAUAAACUUCCACGAAACGGGAAGAGAAUGAGAAUCUGUUUGACAGGUCGAAGA
Molecule: non-coding RNA, 6015 nt
Organism: Physcomitrium patens
Lineage: Eukaryota; Viridiplantae; Streptophyta; Bryopsida; Funariales; Funariaceae
Source: RefSeq, a predicted model, not a curated record